Molecule: ribosomal RNA, 354 nt
Filed under: uncultured bacterium
Lineage: Bacteria
Description: bacterial SSU rRNA
Rfam family: Bacterial small subunit ribosomal RNA
Source: RNAcentral
AGAGUUUGAUCAUGGCUCAGGAUGAACGCUAGCUACAGGCUUAACACAUGCAAGUCGAGGGGAAACGACAUCGAAAGCUUGCUUUUGAUGGGCGUCGACCGGCGCACGGGUGAGUAACGCGUAUCCAACCUGCCCACCACUUGGGGAUAACCUUGCGAAAGUAAGACUAAUACCCAAUGACGUCUCUAGAAGACAUCUGAAAGAGAUUAAAGAUUUUAUCGGUGAUGGAUGGGGAUGCGUCUGAUUAGCUUGUGGCGGGGUAACGGCCACAAGGCGACGAUCAGUAGGGGUUCUGGAGAGGAACGGUCCCCCACAUUGGAACUGAGACACGGUCCAAACUCCGUACGGGAGGCA